GKUUUARRGUUUGAUCAUGGCUCAGGACGAACGCUGGCGGCGUGCCUAAUACAUGCAAGUCGAACGAACUCUGGUAUUGAUUGGUGCUUGCAUCAUGAUUUACAUUUGAGUGAGUGGCGAACUGGUGAGUAACACGUGGGAAACCUGCCCAGAAGCGGGGGAUAACACCUGGAAACAGAUGCUAAUACCGCAUAACAACUUGGACCGCAUGGUCCGAGUUUGAAAGAUGGCUUCGGCUAUCACUUUUGGAUGGUCCCGCGGCGUAUUAGCUAGAUGGUGRGGUAACGGCUCACCAUGGCAAUGAUACGUAGCCGACCUGAGAGGGUAAUCGGCCACAUUGGGACUGAGACACGGCCCAAACUCCUACGGGAGGCAGCAGUAGGGAAUCUUCCACAAUGGACGAAAGUCUGAUGGAGCAACGCCGCGUGAGUGAAGAAGGGUUUCGGCUCGUAAAACUCUGUUGUUAAAGAAGAACAUAUCUGAGAGUAACUGUUCAGGUAUUGACGGUAUUUAACCAGAAAGCCACGGCUAACUACGUGCCAGCAGCCGCGGUAAUACGUAGGUGGCAAGCGUUGUCCGGAUUUAUUGGGCGUAAAGCGAGCGCAGGCGGUUUUUUAAGUCUGAUGUGAAAGCCUUCGGCUCAACCGAAGAAGUGCAUCGGAAACUGGGAAACUUGAGUGCAGAAGAGGACAGUGGAACUCCAUGUGUAGCGGUGAAAUGCGUAGAUAUAUGGAAGAACACCAGUGGCGAAGGCGGCUGUCUGGUCUGUAAACAGG
Molecule: ribosomal RNA, 776 nt
Filed under: bacterium
Lineage: Bacteria
Description: bacterial SSU rRNA
Source: RNAcentral